Molecule: ribosomal RNA, 791 nt
Filed under: uncultured bacterium
Lineage: Bacteria
Description: bacterial SSU rRNA
Rfam family: Bacterial small subunit ribosomal RNA
Source: RNAcentral
GAACGCUGGCGGCAGGCUUAACACAUGCAAGUCGCGCGAUUAAAGCCCCUUCGGGGGUGUAUAAAGCGGCGAACGGGUGAGUAACAGGUGGAUAAUCUACCUCCUGGGGGGGGAUAACGGCUGGAAACGGCCGCUAAUACCGCGUACGAUUACUGUACCUCGGUACGGGAAGGAAAGGCGCCUUCAAGCGCCACCGGGAGAUGAGUCCGCCCCCCAUUAGCUAGUUGGCGGGAUAAUAGCCCACCAAGGCAACGAUGGGUAGCCGAGCUGAGAGGUUGAUCGGCCACACUGGAACUGAGACACGGUCCAGACACCUACGGGUGGCAGCAGUGGGGAAUAUUGCACAAUGGGCGAAAGCCUGAUGCAGCCAUGCCGCGUGGAGGAUGAAGGCCUUCGGGUCGUAAACUCCUUUUCUGAGGGAAGAAAUGUUCAGGGAGGAAAUGUCCUGAAUUUGACGGUACCUCAGGAAUAAGCAACGGCUAACUCCGUGCCAGCAGCCGCGGUAAUACGGAGGUUGCGAGCGUUGUUCGGAAUUACUGGGCGUAAAGGGAGCGCAGGCGGCUUGGCCAGUCCGAAGUGGAAUCCCGGGGCUCAACCCCGGAAGUGCUUUAGAUACUACCAAGCUUGAGUACGCGAGAGGAGAGUGGAAUUCCAGGUGUAGCGGUGAAAUGCGUAGAUAUCUGGAGGAACAUCGGUGGCGAAAGCGGCUCUCUGGCGCGCUACUGACGCUGAGGCUCGAAAGCGUGGGGAGCGAACGGGAUUAGAUACCCCGGUAGUCCACGCUGCAAACG